UACGUAGGGUGCAAGCGUUAAUCGGAAUUACUGGGCGUAGAGCGUGCGCAGGCGGUUAUGCAAGACAGAGGUGAAAUCCCCGGGCUCAACCUGGGAACUGCCUUUGUGACUGCAUAGCUAGAGUACGGUAGAGGGGGAUGGAAUUCCGCGUGUAGCAGUGAAAUGCGUAGAUAUGCGGAGGAACACCGAUGGCGAAGGCAAUCCCCUGGACCUGUACUGACGCUCAUGCACGAAAGCGUGAGGAGCAAACAGG
RNAcentral lists this ribosomal RNA (253 nucleotides) under uncultured bacterium. Its description in RNAcentral is "partial 16S ribosomal RNA". It matches the Rfam family "Bacterial small subunit ribosomal RNA", at positions 524 to 776 of the family's 1533-position model. The record is from RNAcentral.